This 253-nucleotide ribosomal RNA is filed under the name uncultured bacterium. Its description in RNAcentral is "partial 16S ribosomal RNA". It matches the Rfam family "Bacterial small subunit ribosomal RNA", at positions 524 to 776 of the family's 1533-position model. The record is from RNAcentral.
UACGUAGGGUGCAAGCGUUAAUCGGAAUUACUGGGCGUAAAGCGUGCGUAGACGGUUAUCUAAGUCAGAUGUGAAAGCCCCGGGCUCAACCUGGGAAUUGCAUUUGAGACUGAAUAGCUAGGGUGCGGUAGAGGGAAGCGGAAUUUCCGGUGUAGCGGUGAAAUGCGUAGAUAUCGGAAGGAACAUCAGUGGCGAAAGCGGCUUCCUGGACCAGCACCGACGUUCAGGCACGAAAGCGUGGGGAGCAAACAGG